Molecule: ribosomal RNA, 683 nt
Filed under: uncultured archaeon
Lineage: Archaea
Description: bacterial SSU rRNA
Rfam family: Archaeal small subunit ribosomal RNA
Source: RNAcentral
ACACGUCGAUAAUCUGCUCUUAGGUCAGGGAUAAUCUUGGGAAACUGAGAAUAAAACCUGAUAGGGAAUGAAGUCUGGAAUGAAUUAUUCUUGAAAAGCAAUGCCUAAGAAUGAGUCGGCGGCGGAUUAGGCUGUUGGCGGUGUAAUGGACCACCAAACCUUUGAUCCGUACGGGCCUUGAAAGAGGUAGCCCGGAGAGGGACACUAAGACACUGGUCCCAGCCCUACGGGGUGCAGCAGGCGCGAAACCUCUACAAUGCACGAAAGUGUGAUAGGGGGAUCCUAAGUGCUCAUGCAAAACAUGGGCUUUUGCCAAGUGUAAAUAGCUUGGAGAAUAAGUGGUGGGCAAGACUGGUGCCAGCCGCCGCGGUAACACCAGCGCCACAAGUGGGAAUCGCGUAUUUGGCCUAAAGCGUUCGUAGCCGGUUUUGUAAAUUCCCUGUGAAAUCGAUAGGCUCAACCUAUCGGCGUGCAAGGAACACUGCAUAACUCGGAAUCGGGAGGGGUCGGGAGUAUUCGGUGGGGAGCGGUAAAAUGCGAUAAUCCUCCGAAGACUACCUGUGGCGAAGGCGCCCGACCAGAACGAAUUCGACGGUGAGGGACGAAAGCUGGGGGAGCGAUCUGGAUUAGAUACCCAAGUAGUCCCAGCUGUAAACACUGCGAGCAAGGUGUUGCACAAUUUU